This 403-nucleotide ribosomal RNA is filed under the name uncultured bacterium. Its description in RNAcentral is "partial 16S ribosomal RNA". It matches the Rfam family "Bacterial small subunit ribosomal RNA", at positions 30 to 526 of the family's 1533-position model. The record is from RNAcentral.
AUUGAACGCUGGCGGCAGGCCUAACACAUGCAAGUCGAGCGAGCGGCGGACGGGUGAGUAAUGUAUGGGGACUGCCCGAUAGAGGGGGAUAACUACUGGAAACGGUAGCUAAUACCGCAUACUAUCGGAUAACCUUUAUGGGAUUAGCGAGUUGGUGAGGUAAUGGCUCACCAAGGCGACGUUCCCUAGCUGGUCUGAGAGGAUGAUCAGCCACACUGGGACUGAGAGAGGGACCGUACUCCUAAGGAGGCAGCAGUGGGGAAGAUUGCACAAUGGUCGAAAGCCUGAAGAAGCCAUGCCGAGUGUAUGAAGAAGGCCCUAGGGUAGUAAAGUGCUUUCAGUCGGGAGGCGUUACCGACGGAAGAAGCACCGGCUAACUCCGUGCCAGCAGCCGCGGUAAUAC